UACGGAGGGUGCAAGCGUUAAUCGGAAUUACUGGGCGUAAAGCGUGCGCAGGCGGUUUGUUAAGUCCGUUGUGAAAGCCCCGAGCUCAACUUGGGAAUUGCAGUGGAUACUGGCAGGCUGGAGUACGGUAGAGGAAGGUGGAAUUCCCGGUGUAGCAGUGAAAUGCGUAGAUAUCGUGAGGAAGACCAGUGGCGAAGGCGGGUCUCUGGACAGUUCCUGACACUGAGGCACGAAGGCCAGGGGAGCAAACGGG
This 253-nucleotide ribosomal RNA is filed under the name uncultured bacterium. Its description in RNAcentral is "partial 16S ribosomal RNA". It matches the Rfam family "Bacterial small subunit ribosomal RNA", at positions 524 to 776 of the family's 1533-position model. The record is from RNAcentral.